Molecule: ribosomal RNA, 397 nt
Filed under: Mataza sp.
Lineage: Eukaryota; Cercozoa; Thecofilosea
Description: partial small subunit ribosomal RNA
Rfam family: Eukaryotic small subunit ribosomal RNA
Source: RNAcentral
AUUCCAGCUCCAAUAGCAUAUAUUAAAGUUGUUGCAGUUAAAAAGCUCGUAGUUGGAUUUCUGGCAUGAUGCGCCUUGCCCGCCUCGAUUACGAGUGUGUGUGCGAGCGGGCGUCUGCCAUCCAUUUACAGAAUGUGCCUACCUUUGAUUAGGCCGGGUACGUGAUGUAAAUCUUUUACUUUGAAAAAAUUAGAGUGUUUAAAGCAGGCAUUUGCUAUGAAUACAUUAGCAUGGAAUAAUAAUCUAGGACUUCGGUUCUAUUUUGUUGGUUUCUAGAUCUGGAGUAAUGAUUGAUAGGGAUAGUUGGGGGUGCUAGUAUUAAGGGGCCAGAGGUGAAAUUCUUGGAUUCUCUUAAGACUAACUUAUGCGAAAGCAUUCACCAAGGAUGUCUUCAUCG